RNAcentral lists this ribosomal RNA (790 nucleotides) under uncultured euryarchaeote. RNAcentral's name for it is "bacterial SSU rRNA". It matches the Rfam family "Archaeal small subunit ribosomal RNA", at positions 52 to 859 of the family's 1478-position model. Lineage: Archaea; Methanobacteriati; Methanobacteriota. The record is from RNAcentral.
UGCGAGUCGUGAGGGUUCGGCCCUCGGCGGACUGCUCAGUAACACGUGGAUAAUCUGCCCUAGGGUGGGGAAUAAUCUCGAGAAAUUGAGGACAAGGCCCCAUAGGUCCGGAAUGCUGGAACGCUUCUGGACUCAACCUAGGAUGAGUCUGCGGCCUAUCAGGUUGUAGUGAGUGUAAUGUACUCACUAGCCGAUAACGGGUACGGGCCUUGAGAGAGGUAGCCCGGAGAUGGACUCUGAGACACGAGUCCAGGCCCUACGGGGCGCAGCAGGUACGAAAACUUCGCAAUGCGGGAAACCGCGACGAGGGGAUUCCAAGUGCCAGUACUAUGUACUGGCUUUUACUUUGUAUAAAAAGCAAGGGAAAUAAGGGCUGGGAAAGACUGGUGCCAGCCGCCGCGGUAAUACCAGCAGCCCUAGUGGUGAUCGUUAUUAUUGGGCCUAAAGCGUCCGUAGCCGGCUGGGUAAACCCUUGGGUAAAUCGUACGGCUUAACCGUGCGACUUCCGAGGAGACUGCUCAGCUUGGGACCGGGAGAGGCCGGAGGUACUUCCGGGGUAGGGGUGAAAUCCUGUAAUCCUGGAGGGACCACCAGUGGCGAAGGCGUCUGGCCAGAACGGGUCCGACGGUAAGGGACGAAGCCUUGGGGCACAAACCGGAUUAGAUACCCGGGUAGUCCAAGGUGUAAACGCUGCAGGCUUGGUGUUGGAGGUCCUACGUGGGCGUCCAGUGCCGGAGAGAAGUUGUUAAGCCUGCCGCCUGGGGAGUACGGUCGCAAGACUGAAACUUAA